AUUGAACGCUGGCGGCAUGCUUUACACAUGCAAGUCGAACGGUAACAGGCCGCAAGGUGCUGACGAGUGGCGAACGGGUGAGUAAUGCAUCGGAACGUGCCCAGUCGUGGGGGAUAACUACUCGAAAGAGUAGCUAAUACCGCAUACGAUCUAUGGAUGAAAGCGGGGGACCGUAAGGCCUCGCGCGAUUGGAGCGUCCGAUGUCAGAUUAGGUAGUUGGUGGGGUAAAGGCUCACCAAGCCAACGAUCUGUAGCUGGUCUGAGAGGACGACCAGCCACACUGGGACUGAGACACGGCCCAGACUCCUACGGGAGGCAGCAGUGGGGAAUGUUGGACAAUGGGCGCAAGCCUGAUCCAGCAAUGCCACGUGCAGGAAGAAGGCCUUCGGGUUGUAAACUGCUUUUGUACGGAACGAAACGGCUCUGGUUAAUACCCGGGGCUAAUGACGGUACCGUAAGAAUAAGCACCGGCUAACUACGUG
Molecule: ribosomal RNA, 482 nt
Filed under: uncultured bacterium
Lineage: Bacteria
Description: partial 16S ribosomal RNA
Rfam family: Bacterial small subunit ribosomal RNA
Source: RNAcentral